This 253-nucleotide ribosomal RNA is filed under the name uncultured bacterium. RNAcentral describes it as "partial 16S ribosomal RNA". It matches the Rfam family "Bacterial small subunit ribosomal RNA", at positions 524 to 776 of the family's 1533-position model. The record is from RNAcentral.
UACGUAGGGUGCAAGCGUUAAUCGGAAUUACUGGGCGUAAAGCGUGCGCAGGCGGCUCCUUAAGUCAGAUGUGAAAGCCCCGGGCUUAACUUGGGAACUGCGUUUGAAACUGGGGGGCUAGAGUGUGGAAGAGGGGGGUGGAAUUCCAGGUGUAGCAGUGAAAUGCGUAGAGAUCUGGAGGAACACCGAUGGCGAAGGCAGCCCCCUGGGCUAACACUGACGCUCAUGCACGAAAGCGUGGGGAGCAAACAGG